Molecule: ribosomal RNA, 253 nt
Filed under: uncultured bacterium
Lineage: Bacteria
Description: partial 16S ribosomal RNA
Rfam family: Bacterial small subunit ribosomal RNA
Source: RNAcentral
UACGUAAGGGACAAGCGUUGUCCGGAAUUAUUGGGCGUAAAGAGCUCGUAGGCGGUCUGUUGCGUCGGCUGUGAAAACCCGAGGCUCAACCUCGGGCCUGCAGCCGAUACGGGCAGACUAGAGUUCGGCAGGGGAGACUGGAAUUCCUGGUGUAGCGGUGAAAUGCGCAGAUAUCAGGAGGAACACCGGUGGCGAAGGCGGGUCUCUGGGCCGAUACUGACGCUGAGGAGCGAAAGCGUGGGGAGCGAACAGG